Esox lucius (northern pike) is the source of this 2620-nucleotide long non-coding RNA. NCBI's taxonomy places the organism in Eukaryota, Metazoa, Chordata, Actinopteri, Esociformes, Esocidae. The record is from Ensembl.
UUUAUUUUGUAAACAGAUUUAUUUGGUAAAACAAACAAUUCAGCUGUAUGUUUUUCACAGUGAGAGAAGUGUUAACGCUAGAAAGCUUAGAACAGUUUAUAAAAGUUUCAUAUGUGAAGUAUGUUGAAUAUAUUGCUAUUACUAAUACCCUUGCCACAUAUUACAUGCACAAUUUGUAUCGUAUUUAUUUAAUUAUAUACUUAUUCUAAUGCUUCCAUUUUGUAUUUGUUGCAUGUCCUUUGUCGUUCCAGGCAGAAUUCACGAUCAAACAAUCUAUACAAAGGACAUGUUAGUUCAGUCUGUGUUUUUAUAUGGUGGAUCCAGUAAUCUUUUCUAUUGUAGUGUUAUGGUUCUCUGCUGGGUCGUGUAACACACUCGAUUCAUGUGUAUUCGUGCAAAGAGACGAUAGCUUCAACAAUAAGAGCUUCUACCGGGUCACAAUACCCCUAAAAUGAAAGUAUAAAAAGUAUGUAAAAAAAGGGCUGCGAUUCCUUAACUUGCGGCUUGCAAAUUAAAGCCAACAUUCUGCACUUCAACCUCUUAGUCACAAUUUGAAAUACACAGUGCUGAAGUACAGAACCAAAACCUGUGUCACUGUCCAAAUACUUACGGACUGCACUGUGUAGACCGCACUGAUGCUUAAGUGAGGACCGAGGUGAUUCCACUGAACGUCAUGGGUGGAUCCUAGAUAGUUAGCCAGGGUCAGGUUUAAAAUGUUAGCCAGGGUCAGGUUUAAAAUGUUAGCCAGGGUCAGGUUUAAAUUGUUAGCCAGGGUCAGGUUUAGAUUGUUAGCCAGGUUCGGGGUUAGUGGGGGAUAUCUGCUUCACCAGGGGUCCAUCUUUGAGGGGAUUUCUUCGUCAGGUCAGAGAUCGCCAGGGAAUCAGGUGUGGUUUAUUUCAAUGUCCAGUAUUAGCUAUGAAGAAAAUUAACUGGCAUAAUCUUUGUCUGUAGACGUGGCCCUACAUACUCCAACCCCUCUGUCAAGGGGACCCAAUUAUUUAAGUAAGAUGGAAGGGCACUCUCCUGCCUUUACUGCAAUUUGUGUUUCUUACAGAACUCCUGCUCCAGUUCCAUGAAGCUGUCAUGGACAUCUUUGUUCCAAGGAGCACUUCUUGUUUUGAUAAGUUUCUAAGAAGUGUGAUGCCUCCCCUUUACGGCUCCUACCUAAGAUUAUCUGAGCAAGAAGACUCUCAUUCAGCAUCCUCAAGAUGCAAGGGAAAGCACUGGCUGACAACACUCUUCUUUGGCUUCAUCUUCUAAUGUUAGCAUGAUUGGAGGACCUUCACGACUUCCGUCAAUGGAACGGCAUCUUCUUUGUUACAAUUUUUCUGUUUGAUUGACCUGUGUGCAUUAGAAGUUACGUACCCUCUCCACGAAGAGGUCAUUAGUUUCACAAAUUUGUUUGCCUCUGCAUGAGUCUCUACGUCCCCAUUUAUUACACUUCUGCUAGCUAAACACUCUGCUGCUUUGGUAAGUGAGUGUCCUAUCCUAAUAACCAAACUUGUUUUUGUGUAGUCAAUUACAUCCGGAUUGAACCUGCUGACCUUCUUUGCUGCUUCAAGAACCAGUUCGAACCGGCUCGGUUUACAGACGUCCUGUAGGUGCUUUACACUGUUAUCAAGCUCUUUGAGCACCAGCAUGAGUCUACCCACUUCCCGCAGUCUUUUGCAGAUGUAGCCAUGCUGGGACAACUCAUGACCGCGCUCUGCAUACAAACAGUCCCCUAACUGACAAAUUAACAGGUCGUUUCGUAUGUGAAAAGCCACUGAAUCUUGUUGCAUUUUGUGGAUGAUCUUUUGGCAGCCUUCCGAAGCACUUUUAGAGAUUGGGAUCAGAUGGGAUGCUAUAGAUUGGACCCUCUUCCUUGACCCCUUUUCUCCUUCCUUUUUUGGCCUACAUGAUGACUCGUGUCUCCAUAACUUGCUUUUUACAAAAAAACCAAGACAGUGAGAACAGGGCAGGUAGUCCUCAAUGGAAGCACUUCCUGGGGGUUGUCUCCAUGUAACGAUCUCUCCCUUACCCUCUUCAAGCACUAAGAUGUUGUGUUGAUAGUCACCUUUUUUUCUCAGCUCUUCAAGCAAGGCUGACCUUUUCUUAGAGCCUUUCGGGAAGCUACAAGCCCGGGCUACGUCCUCCUCAUCUCCAUGCUUUCUUUCUAAGUGCCUGGAUAUUUUAGAAUUGGGUUUCAUGCAGUAUAUACAGAAAUGCUUUUUGUCAUAGAGCCUUUUCCCAUCCUUGGUCUUACUGCAGGUUUUGAUUGUUAAUGUAGACAUGCUUUUUUCCUGUUCAAUAGGGUCAAUUUUAGACUUUGGGGACAGGGUAGAGGGCGUGCAGGGUGUCUCACUGUCUGUUGAAUCAGAAUUUUCCUCUGCUGGGAUGAAGUGGGGAUAAUUCAUUUGAUCAUCUGACAACACGUCAAAAUCCUCAUCUGACGUCAAGCUCAUUUGGUCAGAAAACGUGUAAUUAGGGACUCUCUGGGAGCGGGGACGGGUGGCCCUGGUCUUGGUCGAACUGGAGAGCCGGGACUUCUUGGUAGCAACUGUGGCAUCAAAAGUGAAGUCUAACAGAUGACAAGGAGAAAAACAGAAACCGAAAAGCAUUAUUACAUUAAACUUACACU